GAAAAAUCAACACUGCAACGGGAGUCUAGAUGGGCUGGGAAGGAAAAUCACAUGAGACUUCGUUGGUGUCCUGGGAGGACAGGAUGAGCACUUCCACCCUCGAGUGCAUUUGUAUUUCAGGACUUCCAGUUGAGUGGUGUCCACAGCAGGUCACUGAGAUGUGAGCGUGGAGAGAGGAGCCUGCAUGACCAGACUAGAACUCAGGGAGCUGGCGCUUCUCAAAUUCCUGUUGAUCCAAAGCAAAUUCACCUCAGAAGGGGAGAGCGCACUUACUGCCAAGAGAAGACUGUGACUCACACCUCGAAUAGACCGUCUUUCUUUUUGCAAGGAGGAGGCCCGGAAGGAUGUCUCACUGGGAUCUCGGGGAGCACAUGAGACAGCAGAGGCACCCAGGAAGAGGUGGGAGAGUGGUGAAGUAAGACCAAUGAGAAGUACAUCGUAAUUCACUAUAGCAAAUGUUAACCAUUUCUGGAAAAGGGAAGUCCUGCCAACUAACUACUGGUGCAGCUGUUAAGCUGGGUUGGUGGAGGCCUGUAGCUGCUGCAAGGUGUUUGUGUUUUCAGGUUUCCUUCUACAGCAUGAGGGCCCCUACUUCCCUUUCUGGAUGCCCCUACACUUCAGUAACUCAAUAUGGAGGAGAUUUCUCUGCUCCCAAACACCAGCAGGAAGAGAGAAACUGUGAAGGCAGUCGGUCUGCAUCACAGUUGUUGUGGUCACCCCCGCACUGUGUCCCUGUCCACACCAUGCCACCCAUGAUGGCGUGGCAGCCACUUUUCACCUGCAAGGACACCGAUCGUAGAUGCGCAGCUGACCCUCUUAUCUCAGCUGACAUGGUUAAAAGUGAGAAUGGAUGGAUCCCGUGCAGGGAAGGCCCGUGACAUCAAACCCAACCCUCGCCCUCAAAGUGGAAUAAUCCGUACUCUCCAAAGGAGUCUCUGAUGGUGAUUUGAUCCGGACCUCACGGAUCCACACUUUGGCUUUUUAUCUGUUGUGUCCUCAUUUCUCAAACUUGGAAAUUUCCAUGCAAACAGAGCUGCAGAAGGAAAAAAAUGUGUUCCAGUUUGCCAGUAGAAAUACAAUGCAAGACACAUGAGUAAUCAUGUAUCUUCCAGGAGCUGUGCAUUAGAACUGUAAUAAGAAACAGGUGCUGUUUUAAAAAUACAUUUAAUUUAGCCCAGUAUGUCACAAAAAUACUAUAAGUUGAACAAGUACGUGUGUACAGUGUGUGUGUGUGUG
This 1236-nucleotide long non-coding RNA is filed under the name Heterocephalus glaber (naked mole-rat). RNAcentral describes it as "lncRNA (ENSHGLG00000048448.1)". The record is from RNAcentral. Lineage: Eukaryota; Metazoa; Chordata; Mammalia; Rodentia; Bathyergidae.